Molecule: long non-coding RNA, 1611 nt
Filed under: Setaria viridis
Lineage: Eukaryota; Viridiplantae; Streptophyta; Magnoliopsida; Poales; Poaceae
Description: long non-coding RNA (SVIR_LNC006241)
Source: RNAcentral
CACUCACCACUACAAAUAUAUACAUGCAAUUCUAUCCUAUAACCACAUCCGAAAAAUUAAGCUGGUAGAUCUUGAGAUUGACGAAAUCACCACAUGUACCUCUCUGUCGAUGGGCACACCACCUACCCUGAAAAGAACAACGUCAGUUAAUCCGAAAAUAAAUCUAGAAAAAUACGAACAUCCGUGCCAAACGAAGAACUCAAAUCCAGGUGGGCAGGUUCCACCGCAAGAAACUCUACAAGCUGAAUAGAAUUACACUCGGUUCGUUUUUAAGUAGAUUGCCCAAGUGGCCAUAACUAUUUGAGCUCUGAGGUCUUGGAAAGUAAUAAAGGUAGUAGUGAUAGGGUGAUAGCAGCUUAAGUGGUUGGAAUUUUGGAUGGGCCCAUCCCCGUUCAUUUCUCAAAGCACACGACACGGCACGAGAUCCCAGUCCACGAAAUAUCGCCGAGAAAUUUCCAAAUCAGCCGCCGCCGAUCCCGACCAUGUCCUCCGGCGACCUCGACGGCGCCGCCCUCAUCCUCUCCCUCCCCGAGGACGUACUCGCCCUGAUCUCCGCGCGCCUUUGCACCCGCGACCUCCUCGCGCUCUCCGCCGCCUCCCGCCGCCUCCGCCACGCGCUCUACGGCGGCGGCGCCGACAAGGCCUGGCUCGCGCAGUGCCGCCGCCUCCUCCCCUCGCCGCCCCACCUCCUCGCCUGGCGCGCCGCCGUCGGCGGAUCCUCCCUCGCCGUCUGCCGCUUCCUCCACUCCGCCGCGCCGCUGCUCGGCGCCCUCUGGGCCCACCAGAACCCCGAGCUCGGCAACCUCGUCGCCGCCGUCCCGGGCUUCCUCUCCGUCGUUGCCGCCCGCGCCAUCCCGCAGGAGCUCUCCCCGCGCCUCCGAUGGGCACCCGUCUUCGAGCUCCUCGCCGACGCCCACGGACGCCCCGCCAUCCUAUUCCUCCACGGCCACCAACCCGCCGACCUCUUCCCGGCCCGCCUCUCCUCCCUCCAGCCCCACGCCAACGUCCUCUUCCUCGAGGCCCAAACCGACCAGGACCCCAUCGCUGCCUCCUCCUCGCACCAGUUCCCCCGCCUCGCCUUCGGCGACCGCCGCCGCCUGCUCGACUCCCUCGUCGACGCCUGCCGCGUCACGCUCCCGCCCGACCUCGUCGCGGCCCCGCUCUUCGCGCGCUCCGAGGAGGACCUCCCGGUGCUCGCGGCGCGACGGGAGGCGAUGCUGCGGCUGCACAGGGAGGCUGGCGGGGGCAUGGUGCGCACGCCGGAGGUCCAGGGGCUCCUACUAGAAGCCAAGAAGAAGGCAGCGCCGUCGUCACCGAGCGACGGUGGGGAGAGGAUUCGCCUGCGGAGGAGCCUCUCCGCUGUAGCAGUGGCCGUCAGGAACGGCCUGCGCCAGAUGGUGACACGAUCAGUGUCAGCGAAUUCCAGGACUCAGUACAUCGACACCAAACAUCUGCUGUUGGCUGACUUCCUGCACACCGGUGAGAGUGUCGGCCUGAGCAUCCGCGGCGCGAGAAUGCGGCUGUCCACUUACCGUGCAUGGCCGAGCAUGCAUGACAACCGCUUUGCGCUCUACAAGCUCACGGUGCAACCGCCCGUGCCAGGAAGGGAGU